GACGAACGCUGGCGGCGUGCUUAACACAUGCAAGUCGAACGGAAAGGCCCUGCUUUUGUGGGGUGCUCGAGUGGCGAACGGGUGAGUAACACGUGAGUAACCUGCCCUUGACUUUGGGAUAACUUCAGGAAACUGGGGCUAAUACCGGAUAGGAGCUCCUGCUGCAUGGUGGGGGUUGGAAAGUUUCGGCGGUUGGGGUUGGACUCGCGGCUUAUCAGCUUGUUGGUGGGGUAGUGGCUUACCAAGGCUUUGACGGGUAGCCGGCCUGAGAGGGUGACCGGCGACAUUGGGACUGAGAGACGGCGCAGACUCCAACGGGAGGCAGCAGUGGGGAAUAUUGCACAAUGGGCGGAAGCCUGAUGCAGCAACGCCGCGUGCGGAAUGACGGCCUUCGGGUUGUAAACCGCUUUCGCCUGUGACGAAGCGUGAGUGACGGUAAUGGGUAAAGAAGCACCGGCUAACUACGUG
RNAcentral lists this ribosomal RNA (468 nucleotides) under uncultured bacterium. RNAcentral describes it as "partial 16S ribosomal RNA". It matches the Rfam family "Bacterial small subunit ribosomal RNA", at positions 28 to 507 of the family's 1533-position model. The record is from RNAcentral.